This is a non-coding RNA of Tistrella mobilis KA081020-065, 324 nucleotides long. It matches the Rfam family "Alphaproteobacteria transfer-messenger RNA". Rfam says of the family: Bacterial tmRNA, also known as 10Sa RNA or SsrA, is named for its dual tRNA and mRNA-like properties. Its role is to liberate the mRNA from a stalled ribosome. To accomplish this part of the tmRNA is used as a reading frame that ends in a translation stop signal. Lineage: Bacteria; Pseudomonadati; Pseudomonadota; Alphaproteobacteria; Geminicoccales; Geminicoccaceae. The record is from Rfam.
GGGCUUUGCAUGUCACGGCCGAGCGCCUAUAUAUGGGGUGCCGGUCGCAAGGCCGGCUAUGGCGAUACAGGGCCUCACGGAAUAAACGUAUCGGACCCGGGGGCAGUGCCCGGCGCCUCCACCAGUUCAGAUCACCGGCCUUCGGGCCGGUGCUCCAUGGGGGCGAGCCAGGAUCGACGUGCGUGGUAAAGGUUUGGUCUUCGCCCGGCAUGAUACCGCCGUUAUCGGGUCACUCAAACAGGUGCGAACGACAACCGUGUCGCCCUCGCUGCCUAACUAGGCAAGCGCGGUCCGGGGGGCACCGGGCAACAGAAGCCCCCCACU